GAUGAACGCUGGCGGCGUGCUUAACACAUGCAAGUCGAACGAAGCACUUUAACUUGAUUCUUCGGAUGAAGGUUUUUGUGACUGAGUGGCGGACGGGUGAGUAACGCGUGGGUAACCUGCCUCAUACAGGGGGAUAACAGUUAGAAAUGACUGCUAAUACCGCAUAAGACCACAGAGUCGCAUGACUUGGUGGGAAAAACUCCGGUGGUAUGAGAUGGACCCGCGUCUGAUUAGGUAGUUGGUGGGGUAACGGCCUACCAAGCCAACGAUCCGUAGCCGACCUGAGAGGGUGACCGGCCACAUUGGGACUGAGACACGGCCCAAACUCCUACGGGAGGCAGCAGUGGGGAAUAUUGCACAAUGGGGGAAACCCUGAUGCAGCGACGCCGCGUGAGCGAAGAAGUAUUUCGGUAUGUAAAGCUCUAUCAGCAGGGAAGAAAAUGACGGUACCUGACUAAGAAGCACCGGCUAACUACGUGCCAGCCGCCGCCGUAA
Molecule: ribosomal RNA, 495 nt
Filed under: uncultured bacterium
Lineage: Bacteria
Description: partial 16S ribosomal RNA
Rfam family: Bacterial small subunit ribosomal RNA
Source: RNAcentral